UGCUUUCAUACCUCGCUCGUCUUCUACCGGCUUCCGCCAUUAUUAAAUUCAGUUUUCACUCUGUUUCAUUUUCAUCACAUUUUAAAAAUCCCUGAUCCAUUACUGUUCUCACUGCUUGACGUUUAAUGCACCUCUGUUUCGGCCAUUAUUUGUUGAAUUACAACUUCUAUUGCAUCGUAAUUCCUCAGAGAUUUGGUUCCCGAUUUCCAACAAUCCGGUGACCAGAAGAGUUAAGAGUCAUGUCGGAGAACGGAGACGGGCUGGAUUACCUCCGAAUUCCGUUCGAGAAGAUCAAGUUUGGUAAGAAGCUCGAGGGUCACGGCUAUGGAAGUGUGUUCGAAGGAGAAUUUGGAGAUCGACGAGUAGCGUUGAAGCAGUUGAACAUCACGAACCUCGGUAACAUUAAACCCAAGCUAUUAGGUGAGAUUUUAACGAUUUCUCAAUUCCGGCAACAUCCAAAUCUCGUUGCUCUUCUCGGUUUCUGUGACGAAAGGAGCAAUGAGAUCAUUCUCGUUUACGAGUAUGUCGCAAAUGGAAAUCUAGCUGACAAGAUGAGAAAACGUCUGAAUACGAUCCAGCGCUUCGAGAUCUGUCUCGGUGCUGCUCGUGGACUGGAUUAUUUGCAUACCGGCGUAAACUCCACCACACCUGGAAUCGUUCACGGUCAUGUUAAGCUUUCGAAAAUCCUGUUGAAUUCUGAUUCAAAUUCAUCAAAAUUUGAAGCAAAGGUUUCGAGUUUUGGAUUAUCCAAAAUCGUGCCUGGAAAAGCUCAGAAGGAUCCGGAGGAUGAAGUCAACGAGAAGCCGACGAAGGAAUCUGACGUCUACUCUUUCGGUGUGCUGUUGCUUGAAGUGCUGUGUGGUGUAUCGGAAUUGGUGGAUACCGAUGAUUAUCAGGAACGCCAUGUCUCCGAAUUGGUCCCGAAGAGACUUGAACAAGAUAAAUUACGCAAAAUCGUGCACUUCGAUAUCAGAAGAGAAAUCAAAACGGAGGCGUUGGAAACUUACGCGAAAAUCGCGUGCCAGUGUGUAAUGGAAAACCCUGAAACACGUCCAACCAUGACUCGGGUUGUUGAAGAACUCGAAAAAGCGUUGAGAUUACAGGGAGGAGAGGUCACCUAUGUUCAAAUUCUUGUUAGCGAAAACAUCAACGACGUAGCAGAUGAAACAGUCGUAGAUGAUGGUCAGAAAGAGGAUGGCGAUGAUGAGACGAUGGAUUCAAAAACACUUGACGAAGAACCCCAGGAGGCGGAGACUGUGGCGGUUGUAGAAGAUGCUAAGGAGGUGAUCUCCGAUGUCGCCGGAGAAGAUAAAGCGGAUGAGAUUAGCAAAGUUGACAAUUCUUCAGAAUCUACCAAUGAGAAGAAAUUAGACGACGAUAUUACUGUGCAAGAACGGAGCUUCGAUGCUUCACUUCUAAAUGGCGACAAUGGUGAGAGUUUAGCCGACAAUACUCAUAUCGAAGACGCUGAAAAGGAGAGUAGCAACACUGUAAUUCAGAACACCAAUGAUCGAGAAACCACAGAAGAAAUUACCGACGAUUUAAGCUCCAAAGAGGAAUCAAACAUCACCGAAGACGAUAACAAAAACUUAGUCCAAAUUGGAGACGAUCAAGAGGAGAUUACCAACACUGCGAUUGCGAGCAUCAAUGAGCCAGAAACCGCAGAAGAAAUCACAGACGAUUUAAACUCCAAAGAGAUAUCGAACGUCACCACAGAAAUCGAAGAUGAUAACCAAAGCAAAACUCAAAGUGAAGAUGCUCCAGAAACCACAGAAGAAAUCACAAACGGAUCCAAGUCUGAAGAGGAAUCGAACUCUGGAAAUCCGGAAUCAGACAAUAGGUCAUGGAACGAGGUUGGAGACGGGCUGGAUGACCUUCGAAUUCCAUUCCAGAAGAUCAAAUUUGGAAAGAGAAUCGACAUUGAUGGUUACGGAAGCAUGUUCGAAGGAGAAUAUGACAAUCAACAAGUCGCAUUAAAACAAUUAAACAUCACAAACCUCGGCAACAUUAAACCCAAGCUUCUAUCAGAAAUUCUAAACGUAGCUCGUUUCCAAAACCACCCAAAUCUCGUCGCGCUUAUCGGCUUUUGCGACGAAAAAAACAACGAAAUUACAAUCGUGUACGAAUACAUCUCCGGUGGGAAUCUAGCGGAUAAUUUAAGUAAACAUCUCACUACGAUCCAGCGACUCGAGAUCUGCCUCGGUGCUGCUCGCGGAGUCGACUAUUUGCACAGCGGUCUAAACCCUACGCCUGGUAUAAUCCACGGUGACAUCAAACUUUCGAAAAUUUUGUUGAAAUUGGAUUCAAUUUCAUCAAAAUUCGUAGCUAAAGUUUCAAGUUUUGGGUUGUCGAAACUUCUGCCUGGAAAAUCUCAGAGGAUUCUGGAUCCUGAAGGUAAGACGAAGGAAUCUGACGUGUAUUCAUUCGGUGUUUUAUUGCUUGAAGUUUUAUGCGGGGUGCCGGAGCUAGUGGAUACCGAUGAUUAUCAAGAACGACAUGUUACUGAAUUGGUUCCCAAGAGGCUCGAACAAAAUAUGUUACGCAAGAUUGUGCAUUUUGAUAUUAGGGAUGAAAUAAAACCAGAGGCAUUGGAAACUUAUGCCAAAAUUGCAUGCCACUGCGUAGUAGAAAACCCUGAAGAACGACCAACCAUGGCUCAAGUUGUUGAGGAACUUGAAAAAGCGUUAAUAUUACAGGGUGGGGGAAUAACCGACAUUGAAGUUCCUGGUAGCAGCAAUGGCAAUGGUCUACAUGACGAAAAUGUUGAUGAAGAUGACAAUGGUGAGACGAUGGACUUGAAUACAGAGGUGGAAGAAUCCAAGGUGAUUGAAGAGAGUGUUGAUGACGUCACUAUGGAAGUGGAGAGUUUUCCUGUUGAUGAUGUACCCGACAUAACCCAUGUAGAAGAGGCUAAAAAGGAGAGUAAUGAACUCUUGGUUGAUCCUGAGAGCACAGAAGAAACCAUAACUGAUGUACAAUCGAAUGAGGAAUCAAACAUCAUUUUGGAAAAAGAACUUGAAAAUGAAAGCCAGAUCCCGCUCAUAUCUUUAGAAUCCAACAAUGGUGACAUCGAGAAAGCUGAACAAGAGAAUGAAAACACACUUCCAACAAACACCCAUGAACACGAAACCAAAGAAGAAGAAAUCAUAGAUGAUAAGAUCACACCCAUGGAGAUUACUACGGAAGUACAUAACUCCGUAGAAAAUGGUAAUAGCAAAAUUAAGUUACAUGGCACCAAGAAGGAACCCGAGCCAAUCAUCGCCACAAGAGAAAUAAAUUUCAAUGAUUUUGACACCACCAACUUAAUACCCAUCACAAAACCCCAAGAAUCUGAAACCAAGAGAAGCAGUAGUAGUACUAGUACAAGCUCCGAGUCUAGCAAUGGCGAAGGCACCGCUCCCUCAGAUUCUUUACUGCAAAAAAAUCCCCCCAACGGUAACACCACGAAGAAAACAUCAUAUGGCUCAAGAAACUGUUGUUCCUGCUCAUGGUGGAACCUCAUCUCCAACAGUCUUACUAUGUUACAGAGUUGCUUCGUGCGGAGGUCAAUUUUGGAAUAAAUCAAAAUCAUGUUGUGCGUGUAUCGGAGGGCAAUUUUCUAGCAAACAUGACUAAGAACCUUGUGCUCCCUGUAUCUUCUGUACAUGAUGGAUCAUUGUUGUUUUUACUGUUUUCUUAUAUGUUUUGAAAUUGAGAGAGAAAUAUAACCUAUGAUUGUUUUAUCAGUUGUACACUAUUGAUUGUUGUGUGUACAGUUUAAGUUGUUCUGAACAUGAGAGAGUAAUAUAUCCACGGAUCUUUUAUUAUUUGUA
This is an RNA transcript of Lactuca sativa (garden lettuce), 3812 nucleotides long. RefSeq lists it as uncharacterized. Lineage: Eukaryota; Viridiplantae; Streptophyta; Magnoliopsida; Asterales; Asteraceae. The record is from RefSeq and is a predicted model, not a curated record.